This 377-nucleotide unclassified non-coding RNA is filed under the name uncultured Parachlamydiaceae bacterium. Its description in RNAcentral is "contains 16S-23S intergenic spacer region". The record is from RNAcentral. Lineage: Bacteria; Pseudomonadati; Chlamydiota; Chlamydiia; Parachlamydiales; Parachlamydiaceae.
UCCUGGUUAACCCAGGCAGUCUCACUAGAGUUCCCAUCCGAAAUGUUGGCAACUAGUGAUAAGGGUUGCGCUCGUUGCGGGACUUAACCCAACACCUCACGGCACGAGCUGACGACAGCCAUGCAGCACCUGUGCAGAAGCCCCGAAGGGAAAUACCAUCUCUGAUAUCGUCCUCUGCAUGUCAAGCCUGGGUAAGGUUCUUCGCGUUGCAUCGAAUUAAACCACAUGCUCCACUGCUUGUGCGGGUCCCCGUCAAUUCUUUUGAGUUUCAGCCUUGCGACUGUACUCCCCAGGCGGUAUACUUAUCGCGUUAGCUACGGCACAACCGGGGUUGAGUCCAGUUACACCAAGUAUACAUCGUUUACGGCAAGGACUAC